This 497-nucleotide ribosomal RNA is filed under the name uncultured bacterium. RNAcentral describes it as "partial 16S ribosomal RNA". It matches the Rfam family "Bacterial small subunit ribosomal RNA", at positions 28 to 507 of the family's 1533-position model. The record is from RNAcentral.
GACGAACGCUGGCGGCGUGCCUAAUACAUGCAAGUUGAGCGCUGAAGGUUGGUACUUGUACCAACUGGAUGAGCAGCGAACGGGUGAGUAACGCGUGGGGAAUCUGCCUUUGAGCGGGGGACAACAUUUGGAAACGAAUGCUAAUACCGCAUAAAAACUUUAAACACAAGUUUUAAGUUUGAAAGAUGCAAUUACUUCACUCAAAGAUGAUCCCGCGUUGUAUUAGCUAGUUGGUGAGGUAAAGGCUCACCAAGGCGAUGAUACAUAGCCGACCUGAGAGGGUGAUCGGCCACAUUGGGACUGAGACACGGCCCAAACUCCUACGGGAGGCAGCAGUAGGGAAUCUUCGGCAAUGGACGAAAGUCUGACCGAGCAACGCCGCGUGAGUGAAGAAGGGUUUCGGAUCGUAAAACUCUGUUGGUAGAGAAGAACGUUGGUGAGAGUGGAAAGCUCAUCAAGUGACGGUAACUACCCAGAAGGGGACGGCUAACUACGUG